This is a long non-coding RNA of Manis pentadactyla (Chinese pangolin), 1248 nucleotides long. RefSeq lists it as uncharacterized. The record is from RefSeq and is a predicted model, not a curated record. The transcript has 3 exons. Lineage: Eukaryota; Metazoa; Chordata; Mammalia; Pholidota; Manidae.
GCGCGUACUUGCGGCUCGGGGAGCGGCUGACCGUCUGCGUCGGGGACCCCAGGAGCCGGGGGACGCGGCUGCGGCGCCCGCCGGACUUGCACCCGGGCGCCACGGCGUCCUCUCUGUGGGAAACAACAGGCGGCGGAAACAGAAGCUCACAGACAGACUUGGAAGGGAGUGAACAGACACACAGAGGAGGAGGGGAGAGAUGAGACAAGGACCUGGAGAAGCCCAUGGAUGCCUCGGAGCUCUCAGAGGAGACACGGUGUUGGAGGGCCGCCAGGUGAGGCCGCGGCUGGACCAGAGAGAUGGGCUUGGAGGUGGUACGGGUGGUAUGACUGGAGAAUGCUGGGCUCAGACGAGGAAGGGUCAGGUUAGCUAUGGCAAGAAGGGUGAGACCCCGUGAGGUUCAGUUUCAAGAACAGGGUUGGGGUUUGGGGACUGAGGCCUGGGUCAGGGAUGACGUGCAAGAGCUGACACGUGCUGCCAGGGCCUCCCUGAGCCCCUGCUCAGGCCUCCCCAGCCUCCUUGAUUCCAGCUGGUCCACCUCAGAAGAAGGGGGACCCAAGGGGAGAGCCUGGAUAUGCCCAAAUCUCCCCCACCAAGUGGCACCCUGGGUCACAGGAGCAAGGAGCACUGAAACGGACCCCAUCGCGGAAGGAGUGACCGUAUCGGCAAAGCACCACGGCAGAGAGUGGGUGAUCAAGUGCCACAAGUUGGACUGUUAUCAAGGGAACAGUGAGAGAAUGAAGAAUUCGCUCUUAAAGAGUGAGUUCCUGAUGAUAAGCCUGAGGAAGAAUUAAGGGACCCUGAAGAUAAAAGGUCCCAUCGCCUCGCACCUGUUCCCUGCAGAAACUUCCCCCACUCAGCCAGUGGGCCGGGCCUCUCGCAGGGCCCUGGGAAGCUGGGAUCAGUGAAACUGUCGACCCUUUUGGGGCGCCCGGUCAGGUCUGGGAGCGAUGAGCUAUGGCCCUGUGUGGCAAGGCCCCCAGCCCAGGCGAAAUGACGUUCACACACCAAUGCGAAGGACGAGCCAUAAUGGCGGGGGGAGCCAGGCCUUGUGGACCGACCAGGAGCCACGGCUGACCUUCCUGGAGCAGCCAGUCUGUGUGUGUGCAGGGAGAGACCAUGUGAUCAAGUGAUCAGGACGGCCAGUGAGACUCUGACCUUUGAAUUUAUAGAAAUAAAAUUUGCCUUUGAUUCUGUCAUCUGAAUUCCUCAGAGAACCCGUCAGUUCCCAGGGCGGCCCUGGGCCUG